GAUGAACGCUAGCGGCAGGCUUAACACAUGCAAGUCGAGGGGCAGCAUGAAGGUUAGCAAUAACCUUUGAUGGCGACCGGCGCAAGGGUGCGUAACGCGUGAGCAACUUGCCCGUUUCUGGGGGAUAACCGGUGGAAACGCCGACUAAUACCCCAUAGUAUUGAUUUCAGGCAUCUGUUAUCAAUUAAAGAACUUCGGAAACGGAUAGGCUCGCGUGACAUUAGCUAGAUGGCGGGGUAACGGCCCACCAUGGCGACGAUGUCUAGGGGUUCUGAGAGGAAGGUCCCCCACACUGGAACUGAGACACGGUCCAGACUCCUACGGGAGGCAGCAGUGGGGAAUAUUGGGCAAUGGGCGCAAGCCUGACCCAGCAACGCCGCGUGAAGGAAGAAGGCUUUCGGGUUGUAAACUUCUUUUGUCGAGGAAGAGUAGAAGACUGUACUCGGCGAAUAAGCCACGGCUAACUACGUG
Molecule: ribosomal RNA, 471 nt
Filed under: uncultured bacterium
Lineage: Bacteria
Description: bacterial SSU rRNA
Rfam family: Bacterial small subunit ribosomal RNA
Source: RNAcentral